GGAACCUUCCACAAUGGGCGCAAGCCUGAUGGAGCAACACCGCGUGAGUGAAGAAGGGUUUCGGCUCGUAAAGCUCUGUUGUUAAAGAAGAACACGUAUGAGAGUAACUGUUCAUACGUUGACGGUAUUUAACCAGAAAGUCACGGCUAAAUACGUGCCAG
RNAcentral lists this ribosomal RNA (161 nucleotides) under uncultured bacterium. RNAcentral's name for it is "partial 16S rRNA". It matches the Rfam family "Bacterial small subunit ribosomal RNA", at positions 358 to 511 of the family's 1533-position model. The record is from RNAcentral.